RNA transcript from Arachis stenosperma, 1477 nucleotides. It is a transcript of the gene named probable ribosome-binding factor A, chloroplastic, with no coding region annotated. The record is from RefSeq and is a predicted model, not a curated record. The transcript is spliced from 6 exons. NCBI's taxonomy places the organism in Eukaryota, Viridiplantae, Streptophyta, Magnoliopsida, Fabales, Fabaceae.
CAAACCAAACCGAGCCUAAAAAAAUAUAGCCCAGCCUACUAAUCUCUUGUCAGAUUCACUCACUCACAGCCCCUCGUCGUCUCCCUCACUGGUUGCGGCGUCUUGCCCUCACCCAAGACCCAACCACUCCUCAGUACUCACACACACUGCCCCCCGGUUCUUUGGGUGCCGCCGCUCGCGUCCGCUCCGCCGUGCUCUGCCUCGCUCGCUCGUCUUCCUUGUCGUCAGUCCUCUUCCCUUCGCCCUCUAAACCCAACUCCCUCCAUAACUGCCGUGCUUACAUCCGUAAAACGAAUUAUGCUUUUUUAUCUUCCUCCGGAGUUGAUGUAAAAGCUACGAGUUUACUACCUUGGCAGUUUGGCAAUUGUGUAAGCGACAUAUGAAGGUUUUAAAGUUUGGUGAAUCUGAGAGAGCAAUGACAUACCUGCUUUAUCCACCACUGAUAUUACCAUGCCCAUGUGGAUGGCGGAAUCACAUCCUUGCACCACCAAGCUCAACCGCAACAAUAAUGAACCCUGUUCAGAGGCGUGGUCUUAGUGGAAGUGUGCAGCCAGGGCAGGAUUUUGUUGGUAGGAGUAGGAGUAGGAGCGUGAGGUGCAUGGCCAAUCCUAGGAGAGUGAAGAUGGUGGCGAAGCAGAUUCAGAGGGAGCUUUCUGAUAUGCUCCUCACAGACAAAGUCUUGCAGUUUGCGGUUCUUCCAGAAGCUUCCUUGGGCGCUGACCGCUACCUCUCAUCUCUGACCACCAUAAGUGAUGUUGAAGUCUCUUCCGACUUGCAGGUGGUUAAGGUGUAUGUGUCCGUUUUUGGAGAUGAAAGAGGGAAGGAAGUUGCCAUGGCUGGAUUGAAGUCUAAGGCCAAAUACGUCCGCAGUGUGCUGGGCAGGCGUAUGAAGCUUCGCUUGACUCCUGAGAUACGCUUUAUAGAGGAUGAGUCUUUUGAGAGAGGAAGCAGGGUGAUUGCAAUAUUAGAUAAAAUAAAAAAUGAGAAAAGUUUGGAGAAUCAAAACGGGGAGCUCUCGGAUUCAUCUGCACAUGAUGAUGAUAAUUGGGAUGAUGUAGAUCCUGAUGAAGGUAUCAUUUACGUGGACUAGCUGCCUCUCACGGUGCGUCAUUAUUUUAGCUGUUGAUAGACAAAGCAUUCAGAGUUGAUAGGGAAAGUUGGCUAUAGAGUGGGGCUAUAAGUUUGGUAGAGAUUGAUGCCAUGCCAUUACCCGAUCAUGAAGCCAACCCAAUGUCAACACAGUUGCCCACCCUCGCUAAGAAUCAUAUCGUAAGAUUUUCUCUCCUUAUGUAACUGUUACCCAGGUUUGGGAUGUCAGUAUACAAAUAGUUUUCCUUAGGUAAGUGGAAACUGGAAAUGAUAACAUUUGCAUUUCCCAAGAACUUUAUGGUUAAUAUUGCUGUCCGGAUUUAGGUGUCAAGCAAUAUUGCAUGUAAAUUGUAAUUCUAGAGUUUAUUUGGUUGUGAUUUGGUCUUGA